AGAGAGCAGAAAAGAGCUAGUUUCUUCAGAAGACAGAAAGAAUUCGAGAUGAAAGACAAUAAUGAGACGGAACGUGGAUCUGAAUAGUUUUGUCUUGGAGCGGCGCGAUCAUUAAUUACUCUCGAAGUUUACCCUCUCAACGGUUAGAUAAAUCACCGGAGAGAAGGUAAAGGGGCAAAAAGAUGAUCGCUGGGCUUCUCCACAUCCGUCAAGGGCCAGAUCCGUGAUCACGGCCCAUCAACCAAAAGCCCAUUCGUCACCUACAUAAUACAAGCCCAACUUAGCCCGCAAGAACAACUCAACCUGCAAAAUUCACCACUUCACCACCUCCAUGGCAAAUACCAAGGAAACAGAGGGGCAAGUCAUGAAAAGACUCAAAAGUACAAGCAAAUGGGAGCAUGACAAAGGUUAGACUUGCUCAUCACUUAAAAAGUUAUAAGAUUUGAUUUAUCGUUAUU
Molecule: long non-coding RNA, 458 nt
Filed under: Manihot esculenta (cassava)
Lineage: Eukaryota; Viridiplantae; Streptophyta; Magnoliopsida; Malpighiales; Euphorbiaceae
Description: long non-coding RNA (MESC_LNC000459)
Source: RNAcentral